CAAGACCAGUCAACCAUAGAGUCUCUU
This 27-nucleotide small RNA is filed under the name Arabidopsis thaliana (thale cress). RNAcentral's name for it is "ATSL217710". Lineage: Eukaryota; Viridiplantae; Streptophyta; Magnoliopsida; Brassicales; Brassicaceae. The record is from RNAcentral.